Molecule: ribosomal RNA, 442 nt
Filed under: uncultured bacterium
Lineage: Bacteria
Description: bacterial SSU rRNA
Rfam family: Bacterial small subunit ribosomal RNA
Source: RNAcentral
GACGAACGCUGGCGGCGUGCUUAACACAUGCAAGUCGAACGGUAAGGCCUUUCGGGGUACACGAGUGGCGAACGGGUGAGUAACACGUGGGUGAUCUGCCCUGCACUUUGGGAUAAGCCUGGGAAACUGGGUCUAAUACCGAAUAGGACCAUGGACUUCACGGUUUGUGGUGGAAAGCUUUUGCGGUGUGGGAUGGGCCCGCGGCCUAUCAGCUUGUUGGUGGGGUAAUGGCCUACCGAGGCGACGACGGGUAGCCGGCCUGAGAGGGUGACCGGCCACACUGGGACUGAGAUACGGCCCAGACUCCUACGGGAGGCAGCAGUGGGGAAUAUUGCACAAUGGGCGCAAGCCUGAUGCAGCGACGCCGCGUGAGGGAUGACGGCCUCGGUUGGUUAAACCGUACGUUUCCUAGCACAGACGAAGCGCAAGUGACGGUAUGUGC